CCUACGGGGGGCUGCAGUAGGGAAUAUUGGACAAUGGGCGAAAGCCUGAUCCAGCCAUGCCGCGUGGUAGAUGAAGGCCCUCUGGGUUGUAAAUACCUUUUAUCUGGGAAGAAAUAUCUCGUUCUCGAGAAACUGACGGUACCAGAUGAAUAAGCACCGGCUAACUCCGUGCCAGCAGCCGCGGUAAUACGUAGGGUGCAAGCGUUAACCGGGUUUACUGGGUUUAAAGGGUGGGUAGUCGGUCAGUUAAGAAAGCCCCGAGCUUAACUUGGGAAUUGGCAUUGAUACUGUUUUUCUUGAAUACGAUUGAGGUAAGCGGAAUGUUGCAUGUAGCGGUGAAAUGCUUAGAUAUGUUACAGAACACCAAUUGCGAAGGCAGCUUACUAAGUCGUCAUUGACGCUGAGGCACGAAAGCGUGGGGAGCAAACAGGAUUAGAUACCCUGGUAGUC
This 450-nucleotide ribosomal RNA is filed under the name uncultured bacterium. RNAcentral's name for it is "partial 16S ribosomal RNA". It matches the Rfam family "Bacterial small subunit ribosomal RNA", at positions 338 to 795 of the family's 1533-position model. The record is from RNAcentral.